Ictidomys tridecemlineatus (thirteen-lined ground squirrel) is the source of this 104-nucleotide small nuclear RNA. The record is from Ensembl. Lineage: Eukaryota; Metazoa; Chordata; Mammalia; Rodentia; Sciuridae.
GUACUUGCUUUGGCAGCACAUAUACUAAAAUUGGAAGGAUACAGAGAUUAGUAUGGCCCCUGUGCAAAGAUGACAUGCAAAUUCAUGAAGCAUUCCAUAUUUUU